RNAcentral lists this unclassified non-coding RNA (976 nucleotides) under Hevea brasiliensis (rubber tree). The record is from RNAcentral. Lineage: Eukaryota; Viridiplantae; Streptophyta; Magnoliopsida; Malpighiales; Euphorbiaceae.
UGAAUACAUGGAAGAGUUCUUUGGCUGCUGUGAAUCUAUAUUGGCAGAAGAUGGCAUUUUUGUUCUACAGUUCUCAUCGGUUGCAGAACAAGAUUAUGAUGAGGCCAGGCGAACUUCAGGUUUUGUCACAGAACAUAUUUUCCCAGGAGGAUGCUUGCCCUCCUUAACAAGGAUAACAUCUGCCAUGGGUGCUGCAUCGAAACUACGUGUGGAGAGCGUGGAAAAUAUAGGAAGGCAUCUCUACAGGACGAUGAAAUGCUGGAGGAAAAGUUUCCUGGAGAACCGGAGGUGAAAAUGAAUAUAGACCUUCAUUGCCGCAACUAUGCAAUAUAUACUUGCCUUGAUUCUGAUGUUAGGUUACCAAUUCUUGUUUUUAGCAAAAUUCUUGGUAUGGGAUUCGACGAAAAGUUCAUUAGAAAAUGGGAAUAUUAUUUUGACUAUUGUGCGGCUGGUUUUAAGUCCGAGACGCUUGGAAAUUAUCAGGUAAUUAAGGAUCACUAGACUCUAUCCCUCACACUGAUAAUAAUUGCGGAAAACUGUGGCUUGCAGAUAGACUUGGGACGUUCAUGUUCCCGUAUCUGACAAGAAAGCGAAAAUGUUGUCUUCGGCUUACAAUUGGGUUUAGCAGCGAACUGAAUUGUCUGAUAACUAUGCAGGUUGUCUUUUCAAGGCCUGAUAGCUUUGUGGCGUGAGGCGAUGGUUAAUUUUCAAGAAAUGUCACACCAAGAAAGCUGAAAUUGUUACUUUUGUCUUGUCAUUAAUCUGUUCUGAAACUUUCUUGAUUUCGCCACUGUUACAUCACAACCAGACAGAAUUUUCUACGUGAAGUAAGUUUACUUUGAUCAAUACGUGAAGUUUCGAUAAGUGUAGAGUGCUUGGGAAUCUAUGUGGGACGUUUAAUUAAGAGUGUUGAUGUACGUAUGGUGAGGGAGGGCUACAUAUACCCAUCUAAGGUAUUGUGUUAUGUAGAGUGAAG